Molecule: non-coding RNA, 88 nt
Organism: Cicer arietinum (chickpea)
Lineage: Eukaryota; Viridiplantae; Streptophyta; Magnoliopsida; Fabales; Fabaceae
Source: Rfam
UGGCUAUGAUUACAUAUUAUCCGCGCUUCUGAGAUUCUCGAUGAAGUAUUAAGGACUGAAACAUGGUUGAAUUUCUUUAUAUGAGCCU